RNAcentral lists this ribosomal RNA (441 nucleotides) under uncultured bacterium. RNAcentral's name for it is "partial 16S ribosomal RNA". It matches the Rfam family "Bacterial small subunit ribosomal RNA", at positions 338 to 795 of the family's 1533-position model. The record is from RNAcentral.
CCUACGGGUGGCAGCAGUCGGGAAUAUUGCGCAAUGGAGGAAACUCUGACGCAGUGACGCCGCGUAUAGGAAGAAGGUUUUCGGAUUGUAAACUAUUGUCGUUAGGGAAGAUAAAAGACUGUACCUAAGGAGGAAGCACCUGCUAACUAUGUGCCAGCAGCCGCGGUAAUACAUAGGGGGCAAGCGUUAUCCGGAAUUAUUGGGUUUAAAGGGUGCGUAGACGGAAGAACAAGUGGGUUGUGAAAUCCCGCGGCUCAACUGAGGAACUGCAACCAAAACUGUUAGCCUUGAGUGUCGUAGAGGAAAGUGGAAUUCGUGGUGUAGCGGUGAAAUGCGUAGAUAUUAGGAGGGACACCAGUGGCGAAGGCGACUUUCUGGACGAUAACUGACGUUGAGGCACGAAAGUGUGGGGAGCAAACAGGAUUAGAUACCCUAGUAGUC